This is a long non-coding RNA of Loxodonta africana (African savanna elephant), 8419 nucleotides long. RefSeq lists it as uncharacterized. NCBI's taxonomy places the organism in Eukaryota, Metazoa, Chordata, Mammalia, Proboscidea, Elephantidae. The transcript has 7 exons. The record is from RefSeq and is a predicted model, not a curated record.
UUGGGUUGUCUGUGCCUGAGAUUAUGGCAACUUGAUUUUCUCAGGUCACAUCUUCCCCAGCAAGAAGAAAGUGACAUUUCCUUGCUGAUUCCAUGCUGAGGGCUGAGGACUGUGACUUGCUGCAUGGCUGUGGGGUGGUUCCCACCAUGCGUGUUGUGAUGGAACAGCAGGGAUCAAUCCUAGGCAGCCCCCGUGGCUUUCCAAACAGAGGGUGAGGCAGAACUGUGGUUGGCAGGACCCUGGGAGCUUGGCCAGAAUGUACUGUUCCCGAAAGCAGAGGGCAGUCAGCUCAGCAGAAUGCUUUUUGAGGGUUUCAGGCAUGCUGUCAAGAUGCGUGUUCGCCACUGAGUGGUGUGUGUGGGCUCCUUUGGCAGCUUUCCUUCUACAAGCUGCUGUUGUUCAGAUUUAACAACGGCAACAACAACCAGCCAUUAUUAAGCGCUUACUCUGUGUAUUGGGAAGCCCUGGUGGCACAGUGGUUAAGCGUUUGGCUGCUAGCCAAAAGGUCGACAGUUCGAAUCCACCAGCUGCUUCUCAAAAAACCUAUGGGACCGUUUUACUCUGUCCUGUAGGGUUGCCAAGAAUCAGAGUCAACUCGAUGGCAUUGGGUUUGGAUUUUUUUUUUUCUGUUUUUGUAUGUGUGUUGGAGCUCUGGUUGUGCAGUAGUUAAGAGCUUGUCUGCUAAACAAAAGUUGGGCAGUUCAAAUCCACCAACCACUCCUUGGAAACAGUAUGGGGCAAUUUUAUUCUGUUCUGUAGGGUUGCUUGGAAGCGAAGAUGGCAAGACAUUCUCACAUACUUUGGAAAUGUUAUCAGGAGGGAUCAGUCCCUGGAGAAGGACAUCAUGCUUGGUAAAGUAGAGGGUCAACAAAGGAGAGGGGGACCCUCAACAAGAUGGAUUGACACAGUGGCUGCAACAAUGGGUUCAAGCAUAACAAUGAUUGUGAGGAUGGUGCACAACCCGGCAGUGUUUUGUUCUGGUGUACAGAGGGUCACUAUGAGUCGGAAUCAACUUGAUGGCAACAGAACACAAAUAUGAUGGCUAGAGUUGGAGCAGCCAUCAUGAACCAUGAGAUGACUUUGGGAAUGGAAGCUGCACAUGCAGAGCCACAGAAUAAAAGGUGCCUGGGUUAAUAGCAAGAUGCCAUCAAGUUGGUUCUGACUCAUAGUGGCCUGAUGUACAACAGAAGGAAACUUUGCCGGUUCCUGCACCAUCUUCAGAAUUGUUGUUAUGCUUGAGCCCAUUGUUGCAGCCACUGUAUCACUCCAUCUUGUUGAGGGUUUUCCUCUUUUUUGCUGACCCUUUACUUUACCAAGCAUGAUGUCCUUCUCCAGGGACUGAUCCCUCCUGACAACACAUCCAAAGUAUAUAAGACACAGUCUCACUAUCCUUGCUUCUAAGAAGCAUUCAGGCUGUACUCCUUCCAAGAAUUUUGGGGGUCAGAAUUUCAAAUACAGAGCAUCAGGGACAGUUUGUCUUUGUUCUGUGAUGUCUGAGGUCUUAGCUGGAGGACUUGAAGCCCAGGGGGUGACUCAGCGGCUGGGAACUGGAACCACCUGAAGGCUCAUUUACUCACACUUCUCGCUGUUGAUGCUGGCUGUCUUCUGGACCUCAGCUGAAGCUGUCAGCCAGAGCACCCACAUGUGGCUUCUUGGUGUGGCCUCUUCACGAAACUCCAAGGGAGACCUGGGUUCAACUCCCGGUUGAUGCACCUCAAGGGUAGCCACCACCCACCUGUCAGUGGAGGCUUGCAUGUUGCCGUGAUGCUGGACGGAUUUCAGCGGAGCUCCCAGACUAAGACUGACUAAGAAGAAAGGCCUGGAGAUCUAUUUCUGACCCAGCCAAUGAAAACCCUAUAGAUCUACGACCUGUGGGGCUGGCGCGGGACCAGGCAGUGUUUCCUUCCGUUGCCCGUGUGGUUGCCGUGAGAUGCAGCUCGCUCGACAGCAGCUAACAGCAACAACAUGUGAUCUUAGUGCCCGUUCCUGAUUAACAGCAGAAAAGAAGCUAAGCCAGCAGGUGGGUGUCCCACCGACGAGACUCACCAUGGGCGACAAGGGCGUGUCCAGGCUCGUCUCCGUCUUACUGUCGUCAGCAUCACUGUCCUUGUCACUACUGCUGUCGUUGACAAAGCAGAUCUGCAGGUUCAUUCCGCUCUGUAGGCUGGGCAGAGACAAGAGGACGCUCACCCCACCCGGCCAUUUGUUAUCUGCCUGGAGAGCUGUGGGCUUUUGUAAUAUAACGUAGUUGAUGUAUUCUUGGCAUGGGGGAGUGAGGGACUGAUAUUACUUCCAACAUAUAAACGACAACUUUUUUUUUCUUUUUUGCUCUUUAGGUGGAAGUUUACAAUGCAAGUCAGUUUCUCAUACAAAAACUUAUACACACAUUGUUAUCUGACCCUAGUUGCUCACCCCAUAAUGUGACAGCACACUCCUCCUCUCCACCCUGUAUUUCCCGUGUCCAUUCAACCAGCUCCUGCCCCCUCUGCCUUCUCAUCUCACCUCCAGACAGAAGCUGCCCACUUAGUCUCAUGUGUCUACUUGAGCUAAGAAGCACACUCCUCACCAGUAUCACUUUAUAUCUCAUAGUGCAGUCUAAUCUUUGUCUGAAGAGUUGGCGUCAGGAAUGGUUUUAGUUUUGGCCUAAAAGAGAGUCCGGGGACCAUGUCUUCUGGGGUCCCUCCAGUCUCAGUCAGACCAUUAAGUCUAGUCUUUUUACUAGAAUUUGAUUUCUGCACCCCACUUUUCUCCUGCUCCAUCAGGGACUCUCUGUUAUGUGCCCUGUCAGGGGAGUGAGUGGUGGUACCCGGGUACCACCCAGUUCUUCAGGCUGAUGGGGUCUCUGGUUUGUGUGGUACUGUCUCUUGGACUCAUAUUUUCCUUGUGUCUUUGGUGGUAAAUGACAACUUUCAUUAGAUCUCCUAAUAUCCCAUUGGAACUCUGGUGGCACAGUGUUUACGAGUUUGGCUGCUAACCAAAAGGUCAGCAGUUGGGAUCCACCAGCUGCUCCUUAGAAACCCUAGGGGGCGGGUGUACUCUGUCCUACAGGGUCACUAUGAGUCAGGAUUGACUCAACGGCAACUGGCUUGAUUUUAGUUUUAAUAUUCUAUUAAGGAACCCUGGUGGCGCAGUAGUUACAUAAGCCCUCGGCUGCUAACUGAAAGGUCGGCAGUUCAAACCCACCAUCCACUUCAUGUCAGUCUGUUUUCAUAAUGAUUAUAGCCUCAGAAACCCUACAGGGCAGUUCUGUUCUGUCCUAUAGGGUCACUAUGGGUUGGAAUCGACUCAACGGCAUACAACAACAACAAUAUCCUAUCAGUUUUUUCUAAACUAACGUUAAGUGAAAAAUAAUUUAAGGCCAUGUAUUAUAGCAAAAAAAAAAAAUUUUUUUUUUUUUAUUUUUUAUUAUAGCACUCAGCACAAUGCCAAGCACACAGUUGGCACACAAUGAAGAUGUGCUGAGUCACUGAGUUUGUAUCCUUUCAGUGUAGAUAAAUGGGGUCCUUGGCCACAUGAGGCUGCCUGGCUGCCAUCCAGAGCUUUGUCCUGGGGGACAACCCAAGGCCUCUCACUAAAGCCAGCGCCUCAGGGCUACUGUUCUCUUUAAAAAGACUCCCCCAAAUAGGUAGAAUAGGAUCACAUGAAGGAAACCUUUAUUUAGGGCAUUUGACAAAAGGGAACAUAGGGAGCUCAUUUAUGACAUUACAACAGGUUUACGCUAGAGAAACAUAACGACACCUUAAACGCAGAAGGCACGACCUUAAAACAAGAUCCUAAAGCUGUCUGGAGCACACAGGCCAUUAGCGCCAUCUGAGACCUCCUGGGAGCCCAUUAUGCUUGUGGCAAACCCUGAACCUCCGGGAGUUGUGUGCUGGGACCGGGAGUGGUGUGCUGGGAGCAUGGUCGCAGCAGGUAACCCAGCCGGGCAUCUGUUACACAUACUACCGGCCUGCAGGUCCGACCCUUGGUCUCAACCUUCUUUCCAAGCUGGACACGUCAGCACUGCUCGUCCAUAAAGAGUUUUUUAAACAGUAAUUUUCCUAGUGUCUGUAAUGACCCAAACCCCUUGUCAGUUUAAAGAGAGAAAAGACAAAGGAGGCUCCUUCUGGGCAACCCGAGAUCACAAGGAGGCUUAGCCCGGUCCGGGACAGCGGACACCGGACUUGCCUGGCCCUCUACAGGGUUGCUAUGAGUUGGAAUCGACUUGCCGGCGGUGGGUUUUUGGUUUUAUUAUUACUGCCACGGGGAGAAAUGUGAAGAGCAACUUGUCUGAUAUUUGACAUUUGCAUUUGAUUUUUUUUUUUUUUAUUCUAGUGGGUAGGGAUGCUUUGUAAAAAUUCCACAGAUGACUCACUUAAUGUGCUUCCUUGAUAGAAAACAACGCAGAACCUAGAAAAUCUACUUAUUAAACACGGGCAUCACUCGGCGUUGUUGUGGGUAUGUGCUGCCACCUAUUGUUACGUUUGGUAAUGACUGAAGGUCCCAGAUUUCUCUCCUCUGGGCAGAACCGGGUUUGGCUUGGUUUAAGGGAAUUCAGGAAACCCUGGUGGCCUAGUGGUUAAGUGUUCCGGCUGCUAACCAAAAGGUCAGCAGUUCAAAUCCACCAGGCGCUCCUUGGAAACUCUAUGCGGCGGUUCUGCUCUGUCCUAUAGGGUCACUAUGAGUCGGAAGCAACUCAACGGCAUUAAAGCGAGCCAGGCCCAGAGCUGGGGGUGAGUCAGAAUCAACUCGACGGCAUUAAAGCGAGCCAGGCCCAGAGCUGGGGGUGAGUCGGAAUCAACUCGACGGCAUUAAAGCGAGCCAGGCCCAGAGCUGGGGGGAGUGAAAAACCACACUGCUGCCUGGAGCUAUUGACAGGGAGUGCCAACGGUCUGCAGAGAGGGUGCUCUGGACAGAGACAGCUCAGGAAACACGGAGAGAUAAAGAUAACCUUUGUAACGAGACUCCGGAGCUUCUUCCAUCAAGAGGUUGAGUCUAUUUCCCUACGGGGAGCCCUGGUGGUAGAGUGGUUAGCAGCUUGGCUAACCACUCCUUGGAAUCCACCAACCGCUCCUUGGAAACCCUAUGAGGCAGUUCUACUCUGUCCUAUAGCGUGGCUAUGAGUUGGAAUUGACUCGAUGGCAGCAGGCCUGAGCACUGGCCUUGCGGCUUGUUCUGGCCAAUAGAGCGCACAGGAAAUGACCAGUUCCAGUUGCUCCCCAAGAGGCCUUCUCCACUUCCCCUCCCCUGGGAACCCUGCCACUGCCCUGACAAGUCCAGGCUAGCCUGCAGGAUGAGGGACAUCGCAGUGACAACGCAGCUGGCAACUGUCCCAACUGAAGCCCCCGACACGUGAGAGAGCCCAGUCAAGAGCAGGAAAGGCAGCUGGCCGACCGGAGGCUGACCGCUGCAUCGCGAGCAAGCCCCUCCGAGCCAGCCGACCUCCAGGAGACCUCCCAAGCAGAAAGACGUUAACUGUUGUAUGUAUGUCACUGGUGCGGGUGGCUCUUUUACGCAUCAUCACUGUGACCACAGACAUUGUUGGCUGCUGUGGAGUGCGACCCAUGGCGACCCCAUGCACCGUGGGAGGAAAUGCUGCCCCAUCUUGCAUCAUUCCCGUGACUGGUUGCUGACCAGACCAUGUGAUCCACAGAUUUUCAUUGGCUGAUUUUCAGAAGUAGAUUGCCAGGCCUUUCUUCCUAGUAUGCCUUAGACUGGAAGCUCUGCUGGAACCUGUUCAGCAUCAUAGCAACACGUGAGCUCCACUGACAGCUGGGUGGUGGUUGUGCGUGAGGCACCCUGGCUGGGAACCGAACCUGGGUCUCCCACAUGGUGGGCAAGAAUUCUACCACUGAUCUACCACUGCUCUGGUGGCCACAGAUAACCGGUACAAAGUCACAAAACAAGAGAAUAGAGGCUGGACUCCUGACUCUCAGUCCAGUGACCUUUUCCCCCACACCACAUAUAACCUCAGGUUUGGAUUAGAUCCCGUCUGGCAAUAAGGAGCCCUGCUGGUGCAGUGGUUAAAGUGCUUGGCUGCUAACAGAAAGGCUGAGGUUUGAAUCCACCAGCCGCUCAGUGGGAGAAGAUGUGGCAACCUGCUUCUGUAAGGAUGUAUGGUCUUGGAGACCCUAUGGGGCAGUUCUACUCUGUCCUACAGCAUCAAUCGCUGUGAGCAGACUGGCAGUGGGUUUUGGUUUGAUCUGGCUAUAAUUUUAAAGGGCAUAUAUGUCCUGUACUUGCUUAUAAUUUUGAGGCAAUUAUACGGUUUUCCUUAGGCAACGGCGAGAGGAAACUUCCCACACGCCUAUGGUUUGCAAACACGGUUGCCCGUUAUCUGCCUCCAGCCAGUGAGCCCGAGAGCCACUGGGCUCCACUCAAUAUCCCCAACUGGUCUCUGGCCUGGCCGUUAAAAUAUAUUAUUUCCAUUUAUUUUAAUGGAUCUUUGAUGCAUUAUUCAAAGGCUUUAUACAUAAUGAAUAAUCACUCACAUUUUUAUACCAUAUCUUUUUCUGUUUCAUGAGAAUUUCAGAGAGGAUGGAGCAUAAAAUAUGAAUUGUAACUACCCAAGGGAUGCCAUAAACACAUUUCAUUUUUCUGAGGAUUUGUCCUGAAGAGGGAAUGUGGAAACAGCUGAGGUUUGGGUAAAGUUUAGCUGUUCCACAGGUGGAUAUUACUUCUCUUUACUGAAGGUGUAGAGGUACUGUCACUCCUGGAUAAAUUGUAAAAUACCUUUCCCUCCCACCUCCAAAUCCUGAAACUCUGUUCCUUCCCUCCUGACUGGUCCAUACUGACACACUUACCAAGAGAUUACAGAAAAUACCUACCACUACUAAAAAUAAAAAAGAAAGGAAAAGCAAAGCUUCUGUUUCCCACCGUCUGUUAUUGUGAAAAUACAAUGCUGUAUCUUAUUUCUAGAGGGAUCGUGCUAAUUUGCUUUUGGCAAGAAGUAUGCACACCUGGGGACAAUAAUUUAUAUGACUUCUUUUAAAGAGUGGUAUUUAUAUAACCACUGCUAAUACUGCUGGUCAGCACGUAUCAUCAAACCGCAAAGAUAAUAUAAAUGACUGAUAACUAUGUGAGGGAGAGAAAAGGGAUGUUUAAACUUCUGUCUCCUUUGCCGAGAUGGGAAAGGAGAAUUACUACCAUUAAGUCCCAAGUUAUAAACUGGCAGUGUGUGGCUAGAUGCAAAUGACAGACCUGUUUUAUUUGACUUGCACUAUCGUUUAAAAAACCUGGAAAUGCAAAUGUUAAAAACAAAAAAAUUUGCAUAAAAAUCUAGAUAAUUAUCUUUCCUUUGUUUUUAAAUUAGAUGACCAUGCAACAGCGGUUCUACAAACCCUAAGGUACCAGCAAGCUAGCGCUGCUGUCCCCCUUGACCAGGGCACCAGUGCACACACUUUCUAGUUUGCUAUAGUCCUCACUAUUCCCUAUUGCCUUUUAUCUGAGCAAUUUCACCCACUCAUGUUGCCUGCUGGCCACUGAAGGCGUUUUUUAGUUCAUGAUACAAUUCAUUAGUGAUGAAUAGUUAGUAGCUGAACCAGGAAGAGAAACCAGGUCUUUUAACAGGUGCCUUGCCCUCAGAUUCAAUCAAAACACACAAACUAAAGUUCGGGGUUUGGAGAAUUGGAUGGGAACUCAAAAAACACUCAGUAAACACUACUCAUCUUGUACAUGAGGAAAAAACAAAAACAAACCUUUACUAACUGGGCAUUAGUAAAGUAAGGUUUUAACCAAAAGAGAGAGUGAGCAAGGAACUGUCCUAGAAAGGGGGUCUUGGUGAAUUGGAGGGUGGGGGAUAAAUGCAGGAGAGAGAUGGGAAAGUUAUAUGCCCGGAGAAGUUGAGGGUAGUUUCAAGCUACCCUCAUGGGGGGACAUUAUGUCUCCUCACGUCCUUUCCUGACCCCACAUCUUCCGGGGCUCAGGGGUUUGCCUUUUCCAGCAGAAGCUGAGGAAGCCAGCUCCAAAGGCAGCUGAGUGCGAAUGUCCUUCCCUGCGUUUUCCCCUCUCCUAAUCCAUAUCUUUUUCUGCUUCCUUUUCUCUCUUUCUCUCUCCCUUCCUUCAUGCCUCCCUCCUCCCUCCCUCCCUCCCUUCCUUUCUCUCUUUUUUAAUUGUGGUAAGUAUAUAUAUCACAAAACAUUUGCAUUUCAACAUUUUUCACACAUAAAAUUCAGUGAACAUUAAUUACGUUGAUCAUGCUGUGCAACCAUCACCACCACCUGUUUCCAAACUCUCCCAUCACCCUGAACAGAAGCUCAGUCCCUCUGAGCAAUGAGCCCCCUUCCCUGUCCCUUCCACCCCUGGUAACCACUAAAAAGCUUUGGUCUCUAUACAUUCCUGCUUCAUUUUCUAAGGCUAAUUCUGGACUCUUCCAUCUGUACAUGUUCCCAUGAUGGCUGGUAGGACACAACACCACAUGGGCCACAGAAUCUUCUCACUG